GAGCAGAAUUAAAAAAAAUUUGGAAUGUUUCAUCUCUCAGACGUGCAUGUAUAUGCGUUUGUAUUUCUUUUAAUUUUUUAUUUAAAAUUGAUUAAAUAUUUUUAAGGUAAGAUUACGUAAUUUAGAUCCUAAUUAUUUUUGAAAAAGCCUUGCAUGCCACAUAUAAAUUUGGAAUUAUUGUCAUUUAUAAAUGAAUUUCAACUUUUCCUAUUUUGAAUUAACCAUUACAAUAUUUUAUUACAUAUCUG
Molecule: unclassified non-coding RNA, 248 nt
Filed under: Hevea brasiliensis (rubber tree)
Lineage: Eukaryota; Viridiplantae; Streptophyta; Magnoliopsida; Malpighiales; Euphorbiaceae
Source: RNAcentral